This 653-nucleotide ribosomal RNA is filed under the name Salmonella enterica. RNAcentral describes it as "partial 23S ribosomal RNA". It matches the Rfam family "Bacterial large subunit ribosomal RNA", at positions 2149 to 2801 of the family's 2925-position model. RNAcentral also lists the same sequence under 1 other name. The record is from RNAcentral. Lineage: Bacteria; Pseudomonadati; Pseudomonadota; Gammaproteobacteria; Enterobacterales; Enterobacteriaceae.
GGGAGGCUUUGAAGUGUGGACGCCAGUCUGCAUGGAGCCGUCCUUGAAAUACCACCCUUUAAUGGCUGGUGUUCUAACGUAGACCCGUGAACCGGGUUGCGGACAGUGUCUGGUGGGUAGUUUGACUGGGGCGGUCUCCUCCUAAAGCGUAACGGAGGAGCACGAAGGUUGGCUAAUCCUGGUCGGACAUCAGGAGGUUAGUGCAAUGGCAUAAGCCAGCUUGACUGCGAGCGUGACGGCGCGAGCAGGUGCGAAAGCAGGUCAUAGUGAUCCGGUGGUUCUGAAUGGAAGGGCCAUCGCUCAACGGAUAAAAGGUACUCCGGGGAUAACAGGCUGAUACCGCCCAAGAGUUCAUAUCGACGGCGGUGUUUGGCACCUCGAUGUCGGCUCAUCACAUCCUGGGGCUGAAGUAGGUCCCAAGGGUAUGGCUGUUCGCCAUUUAAAGUGGUACGCGAGCUGGGUUUAGAACGUCGUGAGACAGUUCGGUCCCUAUCUGCCGUGGGCGCUGGAGAACUGAGGGGGGCUGCUCCUAGUACGAGAGGACCGGAGUGGACGCAUCACUGGUGUUCGGGUUGUCAUGCCAAUGGCACUGCCCGGUAGCUAAAUGCGGAAGAGAUAAGUGCUGAAAGCAUCUAAGCACGAAACUUGCCCCG